This 260-nucleotide ribosomal RNA is filed under the name uncultured Bacillota bacterium. Its description in RNAcentral is "uncultured Firmicutes bacterium partial 16S ribosomal RNA". It matches the Rfam family "Bacterial small subunit ribosomal RNA", at positions 338 to 590 of the family's 1533-position model. Lineage: Bacteria; Bacillati; Bacillota. The record is from RNAcentral.
CCUACGGGAGGCAGCAGUAGGGAAUCUUCCACAAUGGGCGCAAGCCUGAUGGAGCAACGCCGCGUGUGUGAUGAAGGGUUUCGGCUCGUAAAACACUGUUAUAAGAGAAGAACGGCACUGAGAGUAACUGUUCAGUGUGUGACGGUAUCUUACCAGAAAGGAACGGCUAAAUACGUGCCAGCAGCCGCGGUAAUACGUAUGUUCCAAGCGUUAUCCGGAUUUAUUGGGCGUAAAGCGAGCGCAGACGGUUAUUUAAGUCU